This 280-nucleotide long non-coding RNA is filed under the name Linum usitatissimum (flax). RNAcentral's name for it is "long non-coding RNA (LUSI_LNC004419)". Lineage: Eukaryota; Viridiplantae; Streptophyta; Magnoliopsida; Malpighiales; Linaceae. The record is from RNAcentral.
AGAACAGCAAGCUGUACAUGUCUGUCCUGACAUACCAUGAAACAUGCUGCAAGGGCUGGCUAACUCCUCACCCAGUUUGGAUUGAACUGCAAGAAAUCUUGAAAUGGCAAUGAUGAAAUUACAGCUGCUGCUGCUGCAAUGUCAUGGGCUUGUUUAUUGGGCUUCAGUGGGAGCAAAUUGAGCUUUCAAUAUCUGAGCCAGAAGCUUAUAAAUAACUGGGCCGUGGACCCAAACCAAUUGUUGGAUACUAGACCCAGAUCGAAUCAUUCGUGGCCCUGGC